GGAGAGGUGCCGGAGUGGUCGAACGGGGCGGUCUCGAAAACCGUUGAGCCCGAGAGGGUUCCCAGGGUUCGAAUCCCUGUCUCUCCGCCA
This 90-nucleotide transfer RNA is filed under the name Paracoccus sp. (in: a-proteobacteria). RNAcentral's name for it is "tRNA-Ser". It matches the Rfam family "tRNA". From Rfam's summary of the family: Transfer RNA (tRNA) molecules are approximately 80 nucleotides in length. The record is from RNAcentral. Lineage: Bacteria; Pseudomonadati; Pseudomonadota; Alphaproteobacteria; Rhodobacterales; Paracoccaceae. RNAcentral also lists the same sequence under 5 other names.